RNAcentral lists this ribosomal RNA (490 nucleotides) under uncultured bacterium. Its description in RNAcentral is "partial 16S ribosomal RNA". It matches the Rfam family "Bacterial small subunit ribosomal RNA", at positions 30 to 507 of the family's 1533-position model. The record is from RNAcentral.
AUUGAACGCUGGCGGCAGGCCUAACACAUGCAAGUCGAACGGUAACAGGAAGCAGCUUGCUGCUUCGCUGACGAGUGGCGGACGGGUGAGUAAUGUCUGGGAAGCUGCCUGAUGGAGGGGGAUAACUACUGGAAACGGUAGCUAAUACCGCAUAAUGUCGCAAGACCAAAGAGGGGGACCUUCGGGCCUCUUGCCAUCGGAUGUGCCCAGAUGGGAUUAGCUUGUUGGUGGGGUAACGGCUCACCAAGGCGACGAUCCCUAGCUGGUCUGAGAGGAUGACCAGCCACACUGGGACUGAGACACGGUCCAGACUCCUACGGGAGGCAGCAGUGGGGAAUAUUGCACAAUGGGCGCAAGCCUGAUGCAGCCAUGCCGCGUGUAUGAAGAAGGCCUUCGGGUUGUAAAGUACUUUCAGCGGGGAGGAAGGGAGUAAAGUUAAUACCUUUGCUCAUUGACGUUACCCGCAGAAGAAGCACCGGUUAACUCCGUG